This 492-nucleotide ribosomal RNA is filed under the name uncultured bacterium. Its description in RNAcentral is "partial 16S ribosomal RNA". It matches the Rfam family "Bacterial small subunit ribosomal RNA", at positions 28 to 507 of the family's 1533-position model. The record is from RNAcentral.
GAUGAACGCUAGCUACAGGCUUAACACAUGCAAGUCGAGGGGAAACGGCAUCGAAAGCUUGCUUUUGAUGGGCGUCGACCGGCGCACGGGUGAGUAACGCGUAUCCAACCUGCCCAUCACUUGGGAAUAACCUUGCGAAAGUAAGACUAAUGCCCAAUGACAUCCCACGAAGGCAUCCGAAUGGGAUUAAAGAUUUAUCGGUGAUGGAUGGGGAUGCGUCUGAUUAGCUUGUUGGCGGGGUGACGGCCCACCAAGGCAACGAUCAGUAGGGGUUCUGAGAGGAAGGUCCCCCACAUUGGAACUGAGACACGGUCCAAACUCCUACGGGAGGCAGCAGUGAGGAAUAGUGGUCAAUGGGCGAGAGCCUGAACCAGCCAAGUAGCGUGCAGGAUGACGGCCCUAUGGGUUGUAAACUGCUUUUAUAAGGGAAUAAAGUGGGUCACGUGUGACUUUUUGCAUGUACCUUAUGAAUAAGGACCGGCUAAGUCCGUG